GACGAACGCUGGCGGCGUGCUUAACACAUGCAAGUCGAACGAAGAGCGACGGAAGCUUGCUUCUAUCGAUCUUAGUGGCGCACGGGUGAGUAACGCGUAAUCAACCUGCCCUUCAGAGGGGGACAACAGUUGGAAACGACUGCUAAUACCGCAUACGAUCUAACCUCGGCAUCGAGGAUAGAUGAAAGGUGGCCUCUACAUGUAAGCUAUCACUGAAGGAGGGGAUUGCGUCUGAUUAGCUAGUUGGAGGGGUAACGGCCCACCAAGGCGAUGAUCAGUAGCCGGUCUGAGAGGAUGAACGGCCACAUUGGGACUGAGACACGGCCCAGACUCCUACGGGAGGCAGCAGUGGGGAAUCUUCCGCAAUGGACGAAAGUCUGACGGAGCAACGCCGCGUGAGUGAUGACGGCCUUCGGGUUGUAAAGCUCUGUUAAUCGGGACGAAAGGCCUUCUUGCGAAUAGUGAGAAGGAUUGACGGUACCGGAAUAGAAAGCCACGGCUAACUACGUG
RNAcentral lists this ribosomal RNA (510 nucleotides) under uncultured bacterium. RNAcentral's name for it is "partial 16S ribosomal RNA". It matches the Rfam family "Bacterial small subunit ribosomal RNA", at positions 28 to 507 of the family's 1533-position model. The record is from RNAcentral.